GUUUUCUCUGAUUCGUUUGCAGGAUACAAGCGGAUUAUAAUUAGUUUAUAUGAGCAUAUACGUAUAAGCGGACACAUUCAUUCUUUUGUUGACGCUCUACGGCGAGGGGCCGCCGCAUUCUAUAUGGACAUUUCAAACAAAGCAUCAUUCAUCGUUUGGAGGGCUGGCGAUAUUGACUCGGACACGUUUCUGUUU
Molecule: long non-coding RNA, 195 nt
Organism: Mya arenaria
Lineage: Eukaryota; Metazoa; Mollusca; Bivalvia; Myida; Myidae
Exons: 3
Source: RefSeq, a predicted model, not a curated record